RNAcentral lists this ribosomal RNA (200 nucleotides) under uncultured bacterium. Its description in RNAcentral is "partial 16S ribosomal RNA". It matches the Rfam family "Bacterial small subunit ribosomal RNA", at positions 328 to 539 of the family's 1533-position model. The record is from RNAcentral.
ACGCUCGACACCUACGGGGAGGCAGCAGUGGGGAAUAUUGCACAAUGGGGGAAACCCUGAUGCAGCGACGCCGCGUGGAGGAAGAAGGUCUUCGGAUUGUAAACUCCUGUUGUUAGGGGAAAAAGAGGAUGGUACCCAACAAGGAAGUGACGGCUAACUACGUGCUAGCAGCCGCGGUAAUCUGAGCGGGCUGGCAAGGC